GGGCUCGUAGCUCAAUUGGCAGAGCAACCGGCUCUUAACCGGUAGGUUCAGGGUUCGACUCCCUGCGAGCCCA
Molecule: transfer RNA, 73 nt
Filed under: Bacillota bacterium
Lineage: Bacteria; Bacillati; Bacillota
Also listed under: 1 other name
Description: tRNA-Lys
Rfam family: tRNA
About the family: Transfer RNA (tRNA) molecules are approximately 80 nucleotides in length.
Source: RNAcentral